RNAcentral lists this long non-coding RNA (1196 nucleotides) under Marmota monax (woodchuck). The stretch from base 830 to 901 matches the Rfam family "tRNA". The record is from RNAcentral. Lineage: Eukaryota; Metazoa; Chordata; Mammalia; Rodentia; Sciuridae.
CUCUGGGAAACUGGUAUGAAUCAAAUGACAAUUUAUAAUGUACCACGGAGUCUGUCACUUUCUAACUAAAAAGGGUUUUGUUCUGUUUUCCAUCCACAGUAUCCUCUCCAUGUUUUAGAGGACUUGAGUUUUGGAAUGGUUGUAAAGAUUACUGGGUUUUGGAAUCGAGCAGUGGAACAGUGGCAGCCUUUCUUCACUCGACUAUUUCUCAGAACACUCCUUUUUUUUAGAGAAUUUUAACAUUUAUUUUUUAGUUAUAGGUGGACACAACAUCUUUGUUUGUAUGUGGUGCUGAGGAUCAAACCCGGGCUGCAUGCAUGCCAGGCGAGCGCGCUACUGCUUGAGCCACAUCCCCAGCCCCCAGAACACUCCUUUUUGCCCAGUGGCAUAGGGCCUCCUCCCAGGACUGGUGGAGAAAUGGACAGGUCCUUCUAUUUUGAGAUGACAUAAUCUUGGGCCUGUGCACAUGAUUCAGUGACAGUUUAUCUUCUGAUCACUUGUUGGCCUCGUUGGGAAGAUUAGGAGCUCUCUUAGUGUCUUUAAUGGAAUCUUAUCAGGUCAUUUAUAAAUUCAUUCAUUUAAAAUGCCUGGGGGUUGGGCACAGUGGCACACAGCUUGGCUGUUGAGGCUGAGGCAGGGGAUCCUAAGUUCAAAGUCAGCCUCAGCAAAAAUGAGGCAUUAAGCAACUCAGUGAGGCUCUGUCUCUAAAUAAAAUACAAAAUAGGGCUGGAGAUGUGGCUCAGUGGUCUAGUGCUCCUGAGUUCAUUCCCUGGUGUCAAAAAAUAAAAUACUUUGGGGUGCUUCUUAAAUAUUUCAGUGGCCUCUGAGAGGCAGAGUAGUGUAAUGGUAAAGAACACAGCUCUGUAGCCAUACUGCCUGGGUUUGAAUCCCAUCUCUACCACUUACACUUCAUGACUUUGGGCAAAUUAUUUUACCUUUCUGCCUCAAUUUCCUCACCUGUAAAAUGGGGAUAUAUUAAUGAUAUAAUACUUGAUAGGGUUGAUGUGCCUGUAAAUGCUUAGAGCAGUACCUGGCAAUAAUAAGCACUAACUGCUCUCAGAGAUUUCCUGUCCUCAGGGAGCUUACAGCUUCGCAGGGGAGACCAAGCCAACAUGAAUUAACUCCCCAGAUGGAUGCAAAACACCAAGCCUAUCAAGGGCCUAUGAUAAAGGGUUAGAUUCUCAGUGGGAUUAGAG